AAGAAGAUGAUGUUGAAGGGAUUCCUGACGGUAUUUCCCGACUUCUUGAGCAAGAAAAUAAGAUCACUCAGCUGCAUCUCGAGAAUCAGCAGAACAGCCAACUGGGGCAUAAAAAAAACAAAAAAGAAAAAAAAGAGAAAAAAAGAGGAGGGUGCAAAAUCAAAAGAAAUCAAAAGAAAUCCAAAUCAAGAGAAAGAAA
RNAcentral lists this long non-coding RNA (199 nucleotides) under Lathyrus oleraceus (garden pea). Its description in RNAcentral is "Pisum sativum (pea) long non-coding RNA (PSAT_LNC021000)". Lineage: Eukaryota; Viridiplantae; Streptophyta; Magnoliopsida; Fabales; Fabaceae. The record is from RNAcentral.